Propithecus coquereli (Coquerel's sifaka) is the source of this 135-nucleotide small nucleolar RNA. Its record names the gene SNORA70. It matches the Rfam family "Small nucleolar RNA SNORA70". From Rfam's summary of the family: snoRNA U70 seems to be exclusive to mammals and is a member of the H/ACA class of snoRNA which contain H (ANANNA) and ACA box motifs. The record is from Ensembl. Lineage: Eukaryota; Metazoa; Chordata; Mammalia; Primates; Indriidae.
CUGCAGCCAAUUGAUCUGACCAUGCUCCUUUCCUCAUGGGUGCCCAGUGUGCAAUUGCUACAAACAGCAGUCUCCUUAGUAGUGUAUGUAGCCUGUUGUUUGUAUGGGUUGCUCUAAGGGACCUUGGAGACAGCC